GCUCUCCUUUACUCAAUUUAUACAAAUUAUUUUUCUGAGCCAAGUUGAGACAGAAAGCAAUUCAUUCUCCUCGCAAAUCAAGCAAUCGAACCAUUUCAGAUUUCAACGGCUCAACUAAAAACUUCUAAAGGCUUUGUGACCAGGGGAUUAGCGCUGCUUUCCCAAGACAGGUUUAUAUGUGAUUAUGAUCUUCAGGCUUUGCCUAACCAGGUUGGCUGGCUGGUGCUGACGGGACGGAGCUGAGGCUAGAGUUAAAAUUCAUAUGUUAGACUUCCGCUGUAGCAAUUACUCUUAUACAUCUUUUGUUUUCUCAACUUAAGAUGACUUCAUGUCGAGCUUAAAUUUGAAAUUCUAGUUUUAUGCUAAUGAAUGUUGGUUGUCAGAAACAUGAAACAAAACUUGUGAUCCAAAGGGGCAUAGCCCGACUUUCUAUCC
Salvia miltiorrhiza (redroot sage) is the source of this 435-nucleotide long non-coding RNA. RefSeq lists it as uncharacterized. The record is from RefSeq and is a predicted model, not a curated record. The transcript has 3 exons. NCBI's taxonomy places the organism in Eukaryota, Viridiplantae, Streptophyta, Magnoliopsida, Lamiales, Lamiaceae.